RNAcentral lists this ribosomal RNA (253 nucleotides) under uncultured bacterium. RNAcentral's name for it is "partial 16S ribosomal RNA". It matches the Rfam family "Bacterial small subunit ribosomal RNA", at positions 524 to 776 of the family's 1533-position model. The record is from RNAcentral.
UACGAAGGGGGCUAGCGUUGCUCGGAAUCACUGGGCGUAAAGGGUGCGUAGGCGGGUCUUUAAGUCAGGGGUGAAAUCCUGGAGCUCAACUCCAGAACUGCCUUUGAUACUGAGGAUCUUGAGUACGGGAGAGGUGAGUGGAACUGCGAGUGUAGAGGUGAAAUUCGUAGAUAUUCGCAAGAACACCAGUGGCGAAGGCGGCUCACUGGCCCGGUACUGACGCUGAGGAGCGAAAGCGUGGGGAGCGAACAGG